Molecule: ribosomal RNA, 250 nt
Filed under: uncultured bacterium
Lineage: Bacteria
Description: partial 16S ribosomal RNA
Rfam family: Bacterial small subunit ribosomal RNA
Source: RNAcentral
UACGUAGGGUGCGAGCGUUGUCCGGAAUUAUUGGGCGUAAAGGGCUCGUAGGCGGUUUGUCGCGUCGGGAGUGAAAACACUGGGCUUAACUCAGUGCUUGCUUCCGAUACGGGCAGACUAGAGGUAUUCAGGGGAGAACGGAAUUCCUGGUGUAGCGGUGAAAUGCGCAGAUAUCAGGAGGAACACCGGUGGCGAAGGCGGUUCUCUGGGAAUGUCCUGACGCUGAGGAGCGAAAGUGUGGGGAGCGAAC